UAUACUCUUUUCCGGGAGGCAAACAUCCCUUUCCGGGAACGGACUACCGCCGGCGGCAGUACGCUCUAUGCACUCACUCGAUCACCAACACCCGACGCGACGCCCUUUCUAAGAUCUGGACCCGAAUUCUCAGGAUUAUUUACGAAAUAUCAACCGGUGAGGAUGUACCGUCACUCGCUCACUCGCCCCUCGUACCUGCGAUUCCGUCCUCGUACGCGAGGAGGAUUAGAAAUUAUCUAGGACGAAAAUCACCUUUGCCAUCGUACAGAAAGAAAUCUGUCAUCGUUCCCGCCGAGAAAGAUACUGUCUGUGUGUAUGUCUGUGUAGUGUGAUUGGUAGAGGAGGACUGCACUGGGAACAGCUUCUCCCCCUCCAACCACCGUAUCAAACCACCAAUAUCAACCCAAAACCUGCCGCUACGUAAACAGAUCCAACAGUUGCGGGGGCAGUCCUCAGUCUUAUCCGUCCAUCCAGCGAGGUUGGGCUCCAGAUGCUAUCGACAGCUAGGUCAAUUCAGCACCCAACGCACGCAGUUACAAACUCAUUCGUACUCAUGUUCAUUCUUAAAUAUAUUCACUCCUAUUUUCGUGACAUUCAUUUAAUUAGGGUGAUGGAGUAAUCGAUAUUCCUCCAUUAUCACACAGCUAUUACACAACUAAUGCAAUUGAGGGUGGAUGGGGAACUCGAUAUUCCGCCAUCGACUCUCUCACUUCACACAUUCACGCCAAUAAAUACAUUCACUCUCAACAUGAGCUAGGUAUACACAACUAAUGUUAUUACUAUAUCAAUAGAGCAACCCCAUUUCCUUCAAGAAUCGGAACAGGGGACCCUGAUACUCGCUGCCGUAUUCAAGCACAAUUCGCAAAUCGGGUGGCAUUCCUGCGCGUUGAAUGUAUGGAAUCAAGGAAUUACACCAUUCAGUUAGGUGGGACACAUCGAGCAAACUUUCUCUACAUGCCGUACACAUGCGCGGGCUUUGGCCCAAAAUCUUAGCAUCAGAGGGCUGGAGGUUAGGACGUCCCGGUCUUAGCCGCCGCGUCAGCCUUUUCAUUACUCUCCAGAUUUAUCCAGACCCAGACAACAACCACCGUUUUGCCAAGACGCUCCAACAAAAUCACUACGAGAGGGUCGACGGAACAUCUGUCACGGACCUCAGUAAUUGCGCUUAGGAAGUUGGUGCAGACUAGGUUAGCAGAGCCACCAUCGUCUCGAAUCACUUCAAACGCAUGCCAAAUCGCAUACGGUUCUGCCUAUAAACGCUACAGUGCGGCGGAAGGGACAACGAAGUGGACGCACCUUCGCGAUACACGGCACACCCCACACCUUCUUCAGAUUUACACCCGUCUGCAAAGAGGAGCCAAAAACCAGCGUACCUCCAUCUAAGUAGCUAGUACUCCAAAACGUAGCUAGGUAAGGAGUAGACGGCUUGGCUAACACGGCGAGAUCUUCCCGGACGAGUACGCCUGGGAGGCACAGGGUGGAAUCCGUCGGUUGCCCAGCUCGAUUACCGUUCCAAGUGUCAUACUCGCCCUCCGUAAGACUUCGCAGAAGUCUAUCCCUAGAGGUCAAUAAUAAAUUCAAAAUAACAAUUUAUGGCCAUGGAAAUAGGCGUAAAUUAAUUUUUGGAUUGAUAAUUUCGACGACCUUCUGCGUGAUUGACAUUCCAAGUGCAAGCUCUAACAUCACUUUCAGAGACCGAUUUUCAUGGUUGAUAAUUCGUUUUAAAGAAAUU
Molecule: long non-coding RNA, 1732 nt
Organism: Cimex lectularius (bed bug)
Lineage: Eukaryota; Metazoa; Arthropoda; Insecta; Hemiptera; Cimicidae
Exons: 3
Source: RefSeq, a predicted model, not a curated record